GUGAAGCCCCUCACACACAUGUAAAUGAACCUGUGUGCACGCCUUAGGGUAAAAUGAUUUUGCAUGCUGUAUGUUAAGAGAAGCGCCAUAACUUGGGACCAGCAAUUGGCAUAGCGGUUACGUCUCUGGACUCCCACAUGACUGACUGCAGUUCAAGUCCCGGACCUGGCGGCUUCAAAAUCACACCGGGCACGUGUGCAUGCAUACCGAAAACCUGGAGAAGAGAAGGACUGAGCACGGUCAUCCCUCCCAGCGAUGAUUUCUCGCUUUCUGUCUCUGCUGCGCUCUCCGUCUUCCCGUUAGUCUCUUCAUCCCGGGCAUGUAGUCUGGAAGUUUAAGCCCUCUGCCUAGACUCUGUGUCUACACGUGCAUUUUCUGGAUGGUGUCUAAGCUACUACCUGCUGAUUCCUGGCCCCAAGUUCAGUGUGAGCAGGUCACGUGCUCACUGGGGAGGUUGCCUGAGUCCGUGUGGAGACUGUGAGCGACUGCCCGGCUGUCCGCGGUCCUGGACAGCCUGUUCCCCACGGGCCACCCUCUACCUUCGACGCGAUACGAUGUUUGCGCUGCAGUCCUGUUCAUGUUCGGUCCCGAUCCAUUAUUCUAUAGUAAAGCUCGUCACAAACAUUUAUUGAGCUCCGACUCCCUCCCAGGCACAAAGCAGACGCCAGGAGGUGGGCGACUAAGCCAUCACUCCACUUCAGAAGGAGCACGGUGCAGCCAGCCUGAAAGCAGUCCCGGGUUCAAGAUGGCGUGUUCAGAAGGUCUUGGCUUGCAAGUGGUGCCCGGCAGGGGUCAAGCUCCUCGGCCCCCGUCUGAUGUGUCUGACACACUGGCAGGUGUGGGAAAAUGCCGUUACCCCUCAGAAUUACCAUUUUCUACGAUGUAAAAUGCACCUUGCUAUGGGAAAAACACACAUUUGUUACCAGCACGUGGGCACGUCUGAAUCAAGCUGGGAGCCGAGCGUGCAUUAGUGACGUUUCACAGUGGCCGGGCUAUCUGAC
This is a long non-coding RNA of Tupaia belangeri chinensis (Chinese tree shrew), 1001 nucleotides long. RefSeq lists it as uncharacterized. The transcript has 4 exons. The record is from RefSeq and is a predicted model, not a curated record. NCBI's taxonomy places the organism in Eukaryota, Metazoa, Chordata, Mammalia, Scandentia, Tupaiidae.